Molecule: ribosomal RNA, 23 nt
Filed under: Stewartia pseudocamellia x Stewartia ovata var. grandiflora
Lineage: Eukaryota; Viridiplantae; Streptophyta; Magnoliopsida; Ericales; Theaceae
Description: partial 26S ribosomal RNA
Source: RNAcentral
ACCCCAGGUCAGGCGGGACUACC